Molecule: long non-coding RNA, 527 nt
Organism: Myotis brandtii (Brandt's bat)
Lineage: Eukaryota; Metazoa; Chordata; Mammalia; Chiroptera; Vespertilionidae
Exons: 2
Source: RefSeq, a predicted model, not a curated record
ACCUCAGUAAUGGCAAUGUUAUCCAGGACGACAUGCUGUGUGCCGGGAGCGAAGGCCGGGACUCCUGCAAGGGUGACUCUGGGGGCCCCUUGGUCUGUAAAUGGAGGGGUACCUGGGUCCAGGUAGGCGUGGUGAGUUGGGGGCACAAGUGCGGUCUUGCCAACUUUCCUGGAGUCUAUGCCCGGGUGAAAUAUUUCUUGCCUUGGAUCCACCAUCAUAUUCAUUCCUCUCCUUGAGCCCGGGGCCGGGCAAGGAUGCUGCCCAUGAGAUGAAGACAGGCCCUCCAGGGUGUCUGGGGGACCCUCCCUGCUCCCUCCCAGUGCCAGCUCUUCAUUGCACCUAGCGCCCCUCCUCCAUCCCUCCCCCCCCAGCCCCUCUGAGAUCCUCCUGCCUCAGCACCUCCAUCAGCCUCUCUCCCCUGACAGGCAAAAGGGAGAGGUGGGAUGUGCUCUGAAGUCAGGCGGGCACUGCAGGACUCCUGCCUCCUCCCCGCCCCCUGUAGCUCAUUAAACUGCAUGAAAAACUGC